RNAcentral lists this ribosomal RNA (468 nucleotides) under uncultured bacterium. RNAcentral's name for it is "partial 16S ribosomal RNA". It matches the Rfam family "Bacterial small subunit ribosomal RNA", at positions 28 to 507 of the family's 1533-position model. The record is from RNAcentral.
GACGAACGCUGGCGGCGUGCUUAACACAUGCAAGUCGAACGGAAAGGCCCUGCUUUUGUGGGGUGCUCGAGUGGCGAAGGGGUGAGUAACACGUGAGUAACCUGCCCUUGACUUUGGGAUAACUUCAGGAAACUGGGGCUAGUCCCGGAUAGGAGCUCCUGCUGCAUGGUGGGGGUUGGAAAGUUUAGGCGGUUGGGGAUGGACUCGCGGCUUAUCAGCUUGUUGGUGGGGUAGUGGAUUACCAAGGGUUUGACUGGUCGGCGGCCUGAGAGGGUGACCGGCCACAUUGGGACUGAGAUACGGACCAGACGCCUACGGGAGGCAGCAGGGGGAAAUAUUGCACAACGGGCGGAAGCCUGAUGCAGUAGCGCCGCGUGCGGGAUGACGGUCUGCGGGUUGUGAACCGCUUUCGCCUAUGACGAAGCGUUAGUGACGGUAAUGAGUAAAGAAGCACCGGCUAACUACGUG